Molecule: long non-coding RNA, 4562 nt
Organism: Vitis vinifera (wine grape)
Lineage: Eukaryota; Viridiplantae; Streptophyta; Magnoliopsida; Vitales; Vitaceae
Exons: 3
Source: RefSeq, a predicted model, not a curated record
UGCUGCUUCUCUCUGCCAAAACUAGCAGAAGUGCAAUGGCACAUAUUAAGGUUUACUUCUUGUUUGAUUAGAGAAGACCACCGCUUAACCUUGGAUUUAAUGGCAAGUUGGUAAACAUCCUCUAUUGUGUUAGUAUGUGCUACUACCAUCUCAAGUUGAAUCUCCAUUUGAAACCCAUCAUUAAAACAAGUGUUUACUUGAGCCUUGUAUUCUUUCGCCUGGUUGCAAAUAGUCAACUCAUGAAAUUCCUUAGUGUAUUGUUCAACUAAUCUAUUGCCUUGUUUAGGUGAGAACAUCUUAGCUGCAAAAGUUGGAAUAAUUAGUUGGAGGAAAGUGUUCUUUCAUUUUCAACUUCAUCUCAUUACACGUGCUUGUUAUAAAAUUACAUCCUUUUUCAAAUGCUUUGUGAGGUGAUUUUUCAAGGUAAAACUCCCACUCCCUUUCCUUCUUCAACUAGUAGUUUUUUAUGAUUUCUCUGCAAUAACUUCAUAAUUUCUUCUAGUUUGGUUGUUAAGCUUCAUUAUGGCCUCUUUUCGUGAUUAUUGAAGCUUCUUCUAAAUGCGUUAAAGUGGCAUCUUGAUCACUAGAAGUAGUCUUGGAACUCAUGCUUGGCUAAAUUGCUUUUCUCCUUAGUUGCAUGCACCUUCAGGCCAAGAACUUCGGUUGUGAUACCAAAAUUGAUGUAGGACAACCUUAGGAUGGUUGUCUACAUUUAAAUGGUUGGGCUAGGAUUUCACUUGUUUAGGGUUUAAGGAGAAGAACUAUGAUACCUAGACUUUUCUUUUUCACUAGCAUAUUGUAUUAACAGAACAUGUGUGUGGGUGUGGGUUUCUCGUUGGAUACUCCUACUUUGCUUUAGAUAUGAUUAUUUGAUUUUGAUUGAUUGAUUGAUUGAUUGAUUUAUUUUUUAUUUUUAACUUAGUAGAUUAUUACAUUGAAAAAAGAGAGAAUUUAAAAAUAUUUAGGUAUAAGGAAUAAAAGCUAAAGAUAAAAGGAAAAAAAAUAGGAAACUCUUAUUAAAGACAUUAUUUUUAAUUGAUUUCUAAUUGUUUUUUUCUUUAUUAUAUCGUUUCCAGUAUCCAUGUCUAAAUUUUGGAUCCUUCUUAGUAAGUUCUUUGUAUCCUAAUCUUGGAGUUAAAAGAAUUUGAUUGCUAGAAAUGUAUCUACACCUUACACCUCCAACCAAGACCAAGCAACACAGGAGAGGAAUAAUUAUUUAAGCUUGUGGUAGUGGGGAAAAUAAAAUAAAAAGUAGAAAAAGAAAGGAUAGAAAAGAAGAGAUGAAAUAAAGUCUUAGAAUUUCAUUGAAGUUUUCUAAGAAUCUCAUCUAAAACAUAAGGGUAUUGGAAUCUCAUCAUCGCAAGCAAAGAUGCAUGAAAAAACUAAUUUAAUUCUCUAUUUUAUUGAAACCCAAGAUCUAUUAGGACUCUAGUUACUCUACUAGGAUUCUAUCUCUUUUUCUAAGAUUCCUAUAUCUCUGAAGCAAUAAGAGUUAAAACAAAACUAUAAACCCAAAUUUUAUAAAUUCUACUAUGACUCAAAUUAACUUCUCCUAAUUUGACUUUUCUCUUUUUUCUUCCUUUUGUGAUUAAACUUUGAAGAUGGAUCCUCAUUGCCAUCUCACGCUUCCUUUGUUUUUCAUUUUUCCUUUUCUUUUUUAAUAUUUAAUAGUAAUUAAUCAUUUUGUGAUGAUGAUUUUUUGUUUAUCUUAGUCAAUAAAAUGUAUGAAUGCUGUUAUGUUCUGCAUGCAUGUUGAGAUAUGAUGCUUGUAGGAUAAGAAGUGGAAGCUAAAUAUAGGAAGUAAGUAAUCGUAAAAGUUUGUAAAUUGGUAGAUGUGACAUCAAAUCAUGGCAAUCUUGUGGUGUUCUUGCAAGGUGUAGCACUUGAAGACUCACUAAUGUAGAGCUUCAUUGAUUUCCUUUGAAGUGCUUCAUAUAUGUUAACUUUUCUAUUGGCAUAAUACCAUUAAAGAGAGUCUUGGCUGACAAGAUGCUAGAAUAUUGCAAUACUAUCUGCUUUGCUCCUGAUAGCAUUAGUUGUGCUUUUUGACACUAGCUGAGAGUGGGGAGUUCUUUGUUUGAGAGAAACUACCAUUUAGAUGGGAAAAUUGAAUAUCAUUCACUGAGACAAAGGACAAAGAAUGAAAAAAUGGAUGACAAAAAUCAUCAUUACAAUGAAGAAGCAUAAAUGCUUUUAUUAACGCCUUGAUGAAUGACAGAGAAUCCUAUGAUUCCUCUUUUUGUUGUUUUACUUUUUGUAAUUCUCUUCUUAGACAAUGAAAGACCUUCUGAAUUGGGUCUUUUACAAGGUGGCAUUGAUGCAGAAGGUUUCAAGAUAUCUACCCUGAUCCUAGUGAUUUGAGCCCCAUGAAGACUAUAUAUGAUAUAGAAAGAACAAAGAAGAACUAAAGAAAUGAGCAGAAUAAGAAGAAUAAAAUGUGAGGGAAGAGCAAGGCUACCUAAGUAUCUCCUCUCCUUCCCAAGGUAGUUAGUCUAAGCAAAAGUGAAGAAAAGUUAGCACUCUGAGUUUGUCAUACCAAUUUCUAAUCCAGUGCACAUAACUAAUUUUGACCUAUAUAGCACAGACAUAGAUAACAGGAAGUCAUGCGUGCCGAGCUAGAACAUUGUCACUGUUGGAUGUUUCCAAAUUGGUGGAAAAAAAAGUAUUUUGGGUGCCCCAAGGGGACAGCAGGAUACAACUGGACAAAUUUUAACUACUAAUAAAUUGCUUUUAUAUAUUUUUUUUAAUUGGACACAACCUUAGGGAUACAGCAUUCAGGAAGUUCGAUUCUAUUGGUAGCAGUGAUACUCCUAAGGAUUAAGAUCAAAAUACCUUACUUCAAAACUUGUUUCCAAACAUGAGACAUCUGGAGAGAGGACAAGAAAUUCGAAAUGUCCAUGCGAUUACGUGGUUGGGGAUUUAUCACUUAGUAAAGACUCUGUCAAAAGCAAAUGAUAUCUUUUUGAAGAAAUUGACAAAUUUGAAUGUUGUAUGUAGAGUUCCAAGUAAUGCAGUGAUGAAAAAUAAAAUGGGCAAUAUUUCUACAUGCUUGAUCUGUUCUUGGAAUACAGGAUUCCUAGACAUUUGAAUGGCACUCCAGUUGCAGAACAUGAAGGAUUGGUAAAAUACUAAAAAGUUAGGGAGGAUGCUAUUUGCGAAAGUUUCUGCAGCUGUACUAGCCAUUGUGUGGUAUUUUUCUUCAGUGCUAGAUUAAGAUACAAUAUCCAGGUAUUAGUUUUCCUUGAAAUGAGUCUUCAAGGACAGAAGCUAGUGGUCAAGUGAUGAUGAUUGUGAUGAUGGCCCAGUAAACAGUAAAAUAGGCAAGGGGUUGCAGUAAAGAGCAUUUAAAAGCCUGGUUUCAUAUGCAAGAUCUUCAAGUUUCUGUACCAUAUAAUAUGCAUGCAUUCACACAAAAUACACUUACAAUAAUAAGCAUACAUGCAAAAUUGUAUGCAUGCAUGUGUGGUUUUAAGAUUAGUUAAGUUUCUCAUUGGUAUUCCUCUUUCAGACAGAAUGUUCUGUUCUUUUGAUGUCUCCUAAUUCUUUAAUGCAUAUUUAAUAUUGCUGUGACUCUUCCCAAACUCUGUAAGAGGCUUCAUUGUUAAAAAAAGGGAUGAACUUGGAAUUUUGUAUCUAUGAUCACAGGUUCAACUAAGGCUUUUUUUUUUUUUGUUUUUGUUUUUCUGUCAGUGUUAAAAAAAGGUUUUAUUUUGUUGGUGCACCUAUGGCAUGUUUUAAUUUCUUUAUUUAGUCAAUAACUUAAUCUUGUAGACUAGGUUUUGCAAUGCUGAAAGGUAAAUUAAGAUGGUCCUAUCACCCAUGCAUGCAUUAUUGACUGCCAACCCUUUUGAGCAUUACAUGCCUUACAAAGGAUACACUUAUUGGAUGAUCAGAAUUAUCCUAUCAGUUCAAUGUUCAGGAUAAAUGCCUAGUUCUUGGUAGAAACCAAAAUCCCCUCUUCUACCUGCUACAGAUACUUGACACGGAAAACAUAUGUUGUUUGCCUGUCUCAGUUGUGUCUAAAAAGAAAAAAUUCUUAAUUUUCUAUUAUUUGGUAAUACCCAUACAUGUUCAGCACUCAUAAUUAGACAAAUAAUGUGAUGAAAUUAAAUCUUUUAGAUAUAGCUCUUUUUGUGCUGUGGAACUUGCAGUUGAACAUUGAAGGAUGGUUAAUGAAGGAAUACCUUGACUUCUGAUGCUGGAUUCAGCAAUUGAUGAUUCUCCUCUUUUGAUUUGUGAUAUCGGUCAAUUGCAGAUUUUAUGCUGUUGGUGCUUGAGGGGAAAUCAGAAGUUCAUUGUAACAUACCUCAACUUAUUCUUCUCUUGUGGAUGCAAACUCUGUGCAAAUGGUUUAUUGUACCUUGGAAUUAGAGACUCCAAUUUUCUAACAUUGUUGUUACUCUCUCUCAUGGAAAGAGAUUUUUUUGUAAACAUGAUACUCAGAAUGUUGACUAUAUUAUAAGUUAUAAAUGGUUCAGUUUUAUGCAUGAACAAUGAGAUAGUUAUGAAGAGAUGCACAUAUUUUAUGUAUAAUUUGAUUCAGAACCUGUGAUUCAUUUUGU